AGCAGCCGCGGUAAUUCCAGCUCCAAUAGCGUAUAUUAAAGUUGUUGCAGUUAAAAGCUCGUAGUUGAAUUUCGGGAUUGGCGCAUCGGUCGUGCCUCACGGGGUAUGAACUGGUGCAGUCAAUUUCUCACCUUCUGGAGAACCGCGAUGUCCUUAAUUGGAUGCCGUGGGGAACCAGGACCUUUACUUGAAAAAUUGAGUGUUUAAAGCAGGCAUUUUUGCUUGAAUACAUUAGCAUGGAAUAAUAAAAUAGGACGGCAUGGUUCUAUUUUGUUGGUUUCUAGGACCACCGUAAUGAUUAAUAGGGAUAGUUGGGGGCAUUAGUAUUCAAUUGUCAGAGGUGAAAUUCUUGGAUUUAUUGAAGACUAACUACUGCGAAAGCAUUUGCCAAGGAUGUUUUCAUUAAUCAAGAACGAAAGUUAGGGAUCGAAGACGAGCAGAUACCGUCGUAGUCUUAACCAUAAACUAUAGCCGACUAGGAAUCAGACGAUGUUAAUUUUUAAUGUACUCGUUUGGCUAC
Molecule: unclassified non-coding RNA, 520 nt
Filed under: uncultured Entrophospora
Lineage: Eukaryota; Fungi; Glomeromycota; Glomeromycetes; Entrophosporales; Entrophosporaceae
Description: SSU rRNA
Rfam family: Eukaryotic small subunit ribosomal RNA
Source: RNAcentral